AUUGAACGCUGGCGGCAGGCCUAACACAUGCAAGUCGAGCGGAGCGGCGGACGGGUGAGUAAGGCCUAGGAAUCUGCCUGGUAGUGGGGGAUAACGUACGGAAAGGGGCGCUAUUACCGCAUGCUUUCAGAUGAGUCUCGGUCGGAUUAGCUAGUUGGUGGGGUAAAGGACUACCAAGGCGACGAUCCGUAACUGGUCUGAGAGGAUGAUCAGUCACACUGGAACUGAGACACGGUCCAGACUCCUACGGGAGGCAGCAGUGGGGAAUAUUGGACAAUGGGCGAAAGCCUGAUCCAGCCAUGCCGCGUGUGUGAAGAAGGUCUUCGGAUUGUAAAGCACUUUUGGUUGGGAAGCGUUACCCACAGAAUAAGCACCGGCUAACUUCGUGCCAGCAGCCGCGGUAAUAC
RNAcentral lists this ribosomal RNA (407 nucleotides) under uncultured bacterium. RNAcentral's name for it is "partial 16S ribosomal RNA". It matches the Rfam family "Bacterial small subunit ribosomal RNA", at positions 30 to 526 of the family's 1533-position model. The record is from RNAcentral.